This 323-nucleotide long non-coding RNA is filed under the name Junco hyemalis (dark-eyed junco). RNAcentral's name for it is "lncRNA (ENSJHYG00000003525.1)". Lineage: Eukaryota; Metazoa; Chordata; Aves; Passeriformes; Passerellidae. The record is from RNAcentral.
CCAGCCUGGGCAAGGACCAGCGGGCACUGGUCAGCGUCCAUGCCCUGCUCUGGAUGGACACCCUGCAGCAGCGGGAGCACCUCCGGGAAUUCCGCAUCCAGUCCCAGGCGUGGUUCAGCACCUCGGCCAUGCCCUACCGCGUCCAGCCCCGGCUCCUGCCCAGCGGCCACGCUGAGGUAGGGCUGCCGUGGCCGUGGGGACACGGGGACAGGGCCGCGGUGGCAGCGGUGUCACCUCCCUGUCCCUCUGCAGACCGAGACGUGCGUGGUGCGCGCCAGCCCUGGCGGCGAGGGGGCUGUGCCGGUGGGGUGGGUGGUGCUGGG